CAGUCGCCACGGGAAUACGGAGGGUGCAAGCGUUAAUCGGAAUUACUGGGCGUAAAGCGCACGCAGGCGGUCUGACAAGUCAGAUGUGAAAUCCCCGGGCUUAACCUGGGAACUGCAUUUGAAACUGUCAGGCUGGAGUCUUGUAGAGGGGGGUGGAAUUCCAGGUGUAGCGGUGAAAUGCGUAGAGAUCUGGAGGAAUACCGGUGGCGAAGGCGGCCCCCUGGACAAAGACUGACGCUCAGGUGCGAAAGCGUGGGGAGCAAACAGGAUUAGAGACCCGCGUAGUCCCUGUCUCUUAUAC
Molecule: ribosomal RNA, 301 nt
Filed under: uncultured bacterium
Lineage: Bacteria
Description: partial 16S ribosomal RNA
Rfam family: Bacterial small subunit ribosomal RNA
Source: RNAcentral